Molecule: long non-coding RNA, 1537 nt
Organism: Solea senegalensis (Senegalese sole)
Lineage: Eukaryota; Metazoa; Chordata; Actinopteri; Pleuronectiformes; Soleidae
Exons: 2
Source: RefSeq, a predicted model, not a curated record
CUCCCUAGUUUGUGUCUUUCCUUCCUUCUGUGGCAACAUGUAGUUAGUUGUCCUGAUAACUGUCAGGUGUGCUGCAGUUCCAACCAAUCACGGUGGGAGACCGUGUGUAAAGCCCCUGUCAGGCUUCUGCUUGCUGGAGGCUGGGUCGCGUCACUCCUGUGCUUCCUCCAUGUCCGCGUCCGUGUGGUGACAGGUUCGCUUGGGUGUUGCUGCUGGCUGCGCGCUGUUCACCGCUCCGUGUGCCACUCACUGUCUGCCGCUGGUCGCUCUCGGGGAGCGUCGAUCCCUCUGUUCCACGCUGUGUUGGCCGGGAUUGCCUGACCGGGUGCUGAGCCUACAGUGGUGGAUUGGUGUCCUGGUCACGGUGUCCCCUUUGUAUUGUGUUUGCACUUAACUUCUUUGUUUUGUUUACUUUUAUUUGCUUCACGUGUGGUGUUCCUGGGAUCCUCUUUCCCUUUGGAUACGGUUUCUCAAGGUAGGUCUCAGCACUGAUUGGCUCCCCUUAUGUCCCCUUAAGUGAGUCAUUUUUACAUUAUUUUUAAAACAGAAAUUUAUGUAAUUGUUGCCAGACAAUGCCACCUUGGGAAUUUCACCCAGGGAUUUCUUAUAAGUGGACUAACCCAAAUGAAGGAAGGCACUGAGGUCUGUUAUGCAACGAGACAGACGGCAGUUCGAUAAUACCAAAUACUUUUAUUUAUACAAAUUUCUGUUUUAAAAAUAAUGUAAGAUAUUACUCACUUAAGGGGAGCCAAUCAGUAUAAAAGUAAAAGUAAAAAAACCAAAGAAGCUACCAACUAACACAAUACAAAGGGGACACCGUGACCAGGACUUUGCCCCCGGAGAUGUUCGUCGUAGAUGAUUCUGCACUUCGUGGACUCGUGGAUCACUGGGAGAGUUGUGCAAGCAGUUCCAGAUCAAAGAGGACUUGUGUGCCAGAUUUGUAUCAAAACAAGGACUGGGUUUUUGGAUAGACCCAUCACGAAGGUUUGUCUUCAAGAGGCAGAAGAGCCAUGAAGACUUGCAGAUUUUAAAAGAACUAACAUACGUGGACUUGGACUAUUUUGUAGGUUGGAUUGAUUAUUUAGACUAUACAGUAGAUUUCCUGGUUGUUAGAAAUAUGAGAUGUUUUUCUUUUCUGACAUUUAGCAUUUUGUCUCCCACAUAUUAGCAGUUAUGUAAUUAUUGCUUCAGCAUAAUUAGGGGCCGGAAUGUAGGAGUCAUACAUGUAAGUUAGACCUAAGUGUUGAGUUAAUGCUGGAAUUGGUGCACAUGGGUGAUGGAUGUGUCACUACCGCGAGUAUGGAGGAAUAAAUCACUGCUGUCCCCAGUUCACUGGUUGCUGGUUGUCAGUCAUGACGUAGGGUGAGCACGGUGGAGCGGUGAAAUCUUUUGUUGUCCGCAUCAAUGCGUGUUUUGUUUGCUGUGUGUAUUAUUUCUCUCUUUGCUGAAAAGCCACGAGUGUCGUGCAGAGUUUGGCGUGAUGAAUAAAGAGUGGUAGAGCCACAGAGACACGCCUUCGUGUGCGCGUCAUCACUUA